CUGAAGUCGGACGCUUAACAGACUGAGCCACCCAGCUGCCCCCAGCAGUGAACCAUUUGUAAAGCAGGCUCACCAAGGAAUCUGCUCUCAUGGUGCACCUGUUACACUUUCUUGCUCUGGGGAUGGGGCGCUUUGCCAAAUAUCCUGGGAUUAAAUUGUCCUCUAUAGUUGUGAUUUCCCAAGAGCAAUUCAUUAAGAAAUAAUGUCAAGGUUUUUUUUUUUUUUUUGGCCUCAGAUCAAUUGCUACUAGAAGAGAAGGAAAAAGGAAAACUGCCAACAGGAGGCAUGAUGUUCUACCUCAGACAAAGGCUAAAAGGCUUUUAUUGGACUCUUCCAAGGCAAAGCUUGGUUCUGCCUCUCACACCUUGUUUACUCCCCGCUGGUGAACUGUCUAAACCUGGGAUCGUGACGGGCACUUACGUUUACAAAUAAAUAUGUUGCCUCUAUGAUCCAAUUUUGUUCUUAAAAUUAAUCUGUGUGGGAAAGAGGGAAGAGCUGUCUCAUUUCACACUGGGAGGACUGAUGGGCAGAGGGGUUCCCCGUGGGGUCCUGUUCACACGGCUAGACAGCGACAGGGCAGCUGCUGGCUUCUGGGCUCCUGGCCUCCAGCCUCCAUGAUUUAAAGAGAUCGGAAGAGCACACUUCUG
This is a long non-coding RNA of Lynx canadensis (Canada lynx), 647 nucleotides long. RefSeq lists it as uncharacterized. NCBI's taxonomy places the organism in Eukaryota, Metazoa, Chordata, Mammalia, Carnivora, Felidae. The record is from RefSeq and is a predicted model, not a curated record. The transcript has 3 exons.